Molecule: ribosomal RNA, 1576 nt
Filed under: Lactiplantibacillus plantarum
Lineage: Bacteria; Bacillati; Bacillota; Bacilli; Lactobacillales; Lactobacillaceae
Description: 16S ribosomal RNA
Rfam family: Bacterial small subunit ribosomal RNA
Source: RNAcentral
UUAAUUUGAGAGUUUGAUCCUGGCUCAGGACGAACGCUGGCGGCGUGCCUAAUACAUGCAAGUCGAACGAACUCUGGUAUUGAUUGGUGCUUGCAUCAUGAUUUACAUUUGAGUGAGUGGCGAACUGGUGAGUAACACGUGGGAAACCUGCCCAGAAGCGGGGGAUAACACCUGGAAACAGAUGCUAAUACCGCAUAACAACUUGGACCGCAUGGUCCGAGUUUGAAAGAUGGCUUCGGCUAUCACUUUUGGAUGGUCCCGCGGCGUAUUAGCUAGAUGGUGGGGUAACGGCUCACCAUGGCAAUGAUACGUAGCCGACCUGAGAGGGUAAUCGGCCACAUUGGGACUGAGACACGGCCCAAACUCCUACGGGAGGCAGCAGUAGGGAAUCUUCCACAAUGGACGAAAGUCUGAUGGAGCAACGCCGCGUGAGUGAAGAAGGGUUUCGGCUCGUAAAACUCUGUUGUUAAAGAAGAACAUAUCUGAGAGUAACUGUUCAGGUAUUGACGGUAUUUAACCAGAAAGCCACGGCUAACUACGUGCCAGCAGCCGCGGUAAUACGUAGGUGGCAAGCGUUGUCCGGAUUUAUUGGGCGUAAAGCGAGCGCAGGCGGUUUUUUAAGUCUGAUGUGAAAGCCUUCGGCUCAACCGAAGAAGUGCAUCGGAAACUGGGAAACUUGAGUGCAGAAGAGGACAGUGGAACUCCAUGUGUAGCGGUGAAAUGCGUAGAUAUAUGGAAGAACACCAGUGGCGAAGGCGGCUGUCUGGUCUGUAACUGACGCUGAGGCUCGAAAGUAUGGGUAGCAAACAGGAUUAGAUACCCUGGUAGUCCAUACCGUAAACGAUGAAUGCUAAGUGUUGGAGGGUUUCCGCCCUUCAGUGCUGCAGCUAACGCAUUAAGCAUUCCGCCUGGGGAGUACGGCCGCAAGGCUGAAACUCAAAGGAAUUGACGGGGGCCCGCACAAGCGGUGGAGCAGGUGGUUUAAUUCGAAGCUACGCGAAGAACCUUACCAGGUCUUGACAUACUAUGCAAAUCUAAGAGAUUAGACGUUCCCUUCGGGGACAUGGAUACAGGUGGUGCAUGGUUGUCGUCAGCUCGUGUCGUGAGAUGUUGGGUUAAGUCCCGCAACGAGCGCAACCCUUAUUAUCAGUUGCCAGCAUUAAGUUGGGCACUCUGGUGAGACUGCCGGUGACAAACCGGAGGAAGGUGGGGAUGACGUCAAAUCAUCAUGCCCCUUAUGACCUGGGCUACACACGUGCUACAAUGGAUGGUACAACGAGUUGCGAACUCGCGAGAGUAAGCUAAUCUCUUAAAGCCAUUCUCAGUUCGGAUUGUAGGCUGCAACUCGCCUACAUGAAGUCGGAAUCGCUAGUAAUCGCGGAUCAGCAUGCCGCGGUGAAUACGUUCCCGGGCCUUGUACACACCGCCCGUCACACCAUGAGAGUUUGUAACACCCAAAGUCGGUGGGGUAACCUUUUAGGAACCAGCCGCCUAAGGUGGGACAGAUGAUUAGGGUGAAGUCGUAACAAGGUAGCCGUAGGAGAACCUGCGGCUGGAUCACCUCCUUUCUAAGGAA